UGCCAGCCGCCGCGGUAAUACGGAGGGUGCAAGCGUUAUCCGGAAUCACUGGGUUUAAAGGGUGCGCAGGCGGCCAUAUAAGUCAGGAGUGAAAGCUCGGCGCUCAACGUCGGAACUGCUCUUGAUACUGUGUGGCUUGAGUCGAGAUGAGGUAGGCGGAAUGUGACAUGUAGCGGUGAAAUGCAUAGAUAUGUCAUAGAACACCGAUUGCGAAGGCAGCCUACUGGCCUCGUACUGACGCUGAGGCACUAAAGCGUGGGGAGCGAACAGGAUUAGAUA
This 279-nucleotide ribosomal RNA is filed under the name uncultured bacterium. Its description in RNAcentral is "partial 16S ribosomal RNA". It matches the Rfam family "Bacterial small subunit ribosomal RNA", at positions 506 to 784 of the family's 1533-position model. The record is from RNAcentral.